UGGGGAAUAUUGGGCAAUGGAGGAAACUCUGACCCAGCAACGCCGCGUGAGUGAAGAAGGUCUUCGGAUUGUAAAGCUCUUUGAUUGGGAACGAAAGGAUGACGGUACCCAAAGAACAAGCUCCGGCUAACUACGUGCCAGCAGCCGCGGUAAUACGUAGGGAGCAAGCGUUAUCCGGAAUAACUGGGCGUAAAGGGUGCGUAGGCGGUAAUGCAAGUUAGAUGUGAAAUACCCGGGCUUAACCCGGGAACUGCAUCUAAAACUGUAUAACUUGAGUGCAGGAGAGGAAAGUGGAAUUCCUAGUGUAGCGGUGGAAUGCGUAGAUAUUAGGAGGAACACCAGAGGCGAAGGCGGCUUUCUGGACUGUAACUGACGCUGAGGCACGAAAGCAUGGGGAGCAAACAGG
This 406-nucleotide ribosomal RNA is filed under the name uncultured bacterium. RNAcentral describes it as "bacterial SSU rRNA". It matches the Rfam family "Bacterial small subunit ribosomal RNA", at positions 355 to 776 of the family's 1533-position model. The record is from RNAcentral.